GCCACACUGGGACUGAGACACGGCCCAGACUCCUACGGGAGGCAGCAGUGGGGAAUAUUGCACAAUGGGCGAAAGCCUGAUGCAGCGACGCCGCGUGAGGGAUGACGGCCUUCGGGUUGUAAACCUCUUUCAGUAGGGAAGAAGCGAAAGUGACGGUACCUGCAGAAGAAGCGCCGGCUAACUACGUGCCAGCAGCCGCGGUAAUACGUAGGGCGCAAGCGUUAUCCGGAUUUAUUGGGCGUAAAGAGCUCGUAGGCGGUUUGUCGCGUCUGCCGUGAAAGUCCGAGGCUCAACCUCGGAUCUGCGGUGGGUACGGGCAGACUAGAGUGAUGUAGGGGAGACUGGAAUUCCUGGUGUAGCGGUGAAAUGCGCAGAUAUCAGGAGGAACACCGAUGGCGAAGGCAGGUCUCUGGGCAUUUACUGACGCUGAGGAGCGAAAGCAUGGGGAGCGAACAGGAUUAGAUACCCUGGUAGUCC
RNAcentral lists this ribosomal RNA (477 nucleotides) under Arthrobacter sp. 28(2011). RNAcentral describes it as "bacterial SSU rRNA". It matches the Rfam family "Bacterial small subunit ribosomal RNA", at positions 307 to 796 of the family's 1533-position model. The record is from RNAcentral. Lineage: Bacteria; Bacillati; Actinomycetota; Actinomycetes; Micrococcales; Micrococcaceae.